This 92-nucleotide small nuclear RNA is filed under the name Dasypus novemcinctus (nine-banded armadillo). Lineage: Eukaryota; Metazoa; Chordata; Mammalia; Cingulata; Dasypodidae. The record is from RNAcentral.
UUGCUUCAGCAGCACACCUACUAAAAUUGGAAUGAUUAGUGUGGUCCCUGCGCAAGGAUGAUACACAAAUUCAUGAAGUCUUCCAUAUUUUU